GCCUCCAUUGUGAUCUGGGAGCCUGAUGUGCAGCUGCUGCUCCCCCAGUGGGCUCUGUGCUGGGAGAUGGGAACUUUCUGCGGUGGCUGGAAUCAGCUCCUGGGGCAGCCCCGGGCUCUGCCGACACCAGCCCCUGAGCCGGAGCCUGCAGGCAGCAGAAUAAGGACCACGUUUCACUCCAGAUCGUCCCAUCCUCCCAGGGGACAGGCCAGGGAAAUGGCUGUGAUGGAGCCAGCUCAGGUGCCAGACGCUUUCGAGGAGGUGACUGUCUGUGCCACGGAGGAGCAGUGGGCUGUGCUGGACCCUGCUCAGAGAACCCUCUUCAGGGAUGCCAUGCCAAAGCAUUGCAGGACAGUGCUCACAACGGG
Chrysemys picta bellii (western painted turtle) is the source of this 368-nucleotide long non-coding RNA. RefSeq lists it as uncharacterized. Lineage: Eukaryota; Metazoa; Chordata; Testudines; Emydidae. The record is from RefSeq and is a predicted model, not a curated record.